This 605-nucleotide ribosomal RNA is filed under the name Russula xerampelina. Its description in RNAcentral is "eukaryotic LSU rRNA". It matches the Rfam family "Eukaryotic large subunit ribosomal RNA", at positions 1 to 603 of the family's 3401-position model. The record is from RNAcentral. RNAcentral also lists the same sequence under 1 other name. Lineage: Eukaryota; Fungi; Basidiomycota; Agaricomycetes; Russulales; Russulaceae.
UUGACCUCAAAUCGGGUGAGACUACCCGCUGAACUUAAGCAUAUCAAUAAGCGGAGGAAAAGAAACUAACAAGGAUUCCCCUAGUAACUGCGAGUGAAGCGGGAAAAGCUCAAAUUUAAAAUCUGGUGGUCUUUGGCCAUCCGAGUUGUAAUUUAGAGAAGCGUCUUCCGCGCUGGACCGUGCACAAGUCUCCUGGAAUGGAGCGUCAUAGAGGGUGAGAAUCCCGUCUUUGGCAUGGACACACCAGGGCUUUUGUGAUGCGCUCUCGAAGAGUCGAGUUGUUUGGGAAUGCAGCUCAAAAUGGGUGGUGAACUCCAUCUAAAGCUAAAUAUUGGCGAGAGACCGAUAGCGAACAAGUACCGUGAGGGAAAGAUGAAAAGCACUUUGGAAAGAGAGUGAAACAGUACGUGAAAUUGUUGAAAGGGAAACGCUUGAAGUCAGUCACGUCGACCGAGACUCAGCCUUGCCUCGGCUUGGUGUACUUCUCGGCUGACGGGUCAGCAUCAAUUUUGCCCCUUGGAUAAUGGCAAGGGAAAUGUGACACCUUUAUGGUGUGUUAUAGUCUCUCGUCGCAUGCAAGGGUUGGGAUUGAGGAACUCAGCACG